This 517-nucleotide ribosomal RNA is filed under the name uncultured bacterium. RNAcentral describes it as "bacterial SSU rRNA". It matches the Rfam family "Bacterial small subunit ribosomal RNA", at positions 992 to 1509 of the family's 1533-position model. The record is from RNAcentral.
AGAAUUUAGCAGAGAUGCUUUAGUGCCUUCGGGAACUCUGAGACAGGUGCUGCAUGGCUGUCGUCAGCUCGUGUUGUGAAUGUUGGGUUAAGUCCCGCAACGAGCGCAACCCUUAUCCUUUGCUGCCAGCACGUAAUGGUGGGAACUCAAAGGAGACUGCCGGUGAUAAACCGGAGGAAGGUGGGGAUGACGUCAAGUCAUCAUGGCCCUUACGAGUAGGGCUACACACGUGCUACAAUGGCGCAUACAAAGAGAAGCGACCUCGCGAGAGCAAGCGGACCUCAUAAAGUGCGUCGUAGUCCGGAUUGGAGUCUGCAACUCGACUCCAUGAAGUCGGAAUCGCUAGUAAUCGUAAAUCAGAAUGCUACGGUGAAUACGUUCCCGGGCCUUGUACACACCGCCCGUCACACCAUGGGAGUGGGUUGCAAAAGAAGUAGAUAGCUUAACCUUCGGGAGGGCGUUUACCACUUUGUGAUUCAUGACUGGGGUGAAGUCGUAACAAGGUAAGCGUAGUGCU